RNAcentral lists this ribosomal RNA (445 nucleotides) under uncultured bacterium. RNAcentral's name for it is "partial 16S ribosomal RNA". It matches the Rfam family "Bacterial small subunit ribosomal RNA", at positions 354 to 796 of the family's 1533-position model. The record is from RNAcentral.
GUGAGGAAUAUUGGUCAAUGGACGAGAGUCUGAACCAGCCAAGUCGCGUGAAGGAAGACGGUUCUAUGAAUUGUAAACUUCUUUUGUGCAGGAAUAAAGUGGGUUACGUGUAACCUUUUGUAUGUACUGUACGAAUAAGGAUCGGCUAACUCCGUGCCAGCAGCCGCGGUAAUACGGAGGAUCCGAGCGUUAUCCGGAUUUAUUGGGUUUAAAGGGUGCGUAGGUGGUUUGAUAAGUCAGCGGUGAAAGUUUGCAGCUUAACUGUAAAAAUGCCGUUGAAACUGUCGGACUUGAGUGCAAAUGAGGUAGGCGGAAUGCGUGGUGUAGCGGUGAAAUGCAUAGAUAUCACGCAGAACUCCGAUUGCGAAGGCAGCUUACUGGGAUGCAACUGACACUGAUGCACGAAAGCGUGGGUAUCAAACAGGAUUAGAUACCCCAGUAGUCC